GCCAGACAUGGUGGUGUACCUGUAGUCUCAGCUACUUAGGAGGCUGAGGCAGGAGGAUGGCUUGAGCCCAGGAAUUAAAGACCAGACUGGGAGACAAAGCAAGAACUUGUCUCAG
This 115-nucleotide small RNA is filed under the name Marmota monax (woodchuck). Lineage: Eukaryota; Metazoa; Chordata; Mammalia; Rodentia; Sciuridae. The record is from RNAcentral.